AUUGAACGCUGGCGGCAGGCCUAACACAUGCAAGUCGAGCGAGCGGCGGACGGGUGAGUAAUGUAUGGGGACUGCCCGAUAGAGGGGGAUAACAACUGUAAACGGUAGCUAAUACCGCAUACUAUCGGAGAACCCAUAUGGGAUUAGAUAGUAGGUGAGGUAAUGGCUCACCUGGGCGACGAUCCCUAGCUGGUCUGAGAGGCUGCUCAGCCACAGUGGGCCGUGAACCCGGCCCGGACUCCUACGGAGGCGGAGGUGGGAAAUAUUGCACAAUGGGGGCAGUCCUGAUGCGGCCAUGCCGCGUGUAGGAAGAUGGCCCUAGGGUUGUAAAGUACUUUCAGUCGGGAGGCGUUACCGACAGAAGAAGCACCGGCUAACUCCGUGCCAGCAGCCGCGGUAAUAC
Molecule: ribosomal RNA, 403 nt
Filed under: uncultured bacterium
Lineage: Bacteria
Description: partial 16S ribosomal RNA
Rfam family: Bacterial small subunit ribosomal RNA
Source: RNAcentral